Molecule: non-coding RNA, 876 nt
Organism: Malus domestica (apple)
Lineage: Eukaryota; Viridiplantae; Streptophyta; Magnoliopsida; Rosales; Rosaceae
Source: RefSeq, a predicted model, not a curated record
UGUAUGGGACAUGAAUAAGUUCCGUCGCACGCACCUCUGUUGUGAAUAAGUAGAAGAAAAGAAAAAAAACUGCACGCUCUCAUCUCCCUCUCGCUCUCCGCCUCUCUCGUUCUCGUUCUCCGCCUAUCUUCCUCUCUUCAAAGCAUAUAGAUCAUUCUUUGCCACUCUUGCGACAAUCACUGAUGCUGAGACACAAUUGAACCAGGUAAGGAUUUAUGUUUCUUGUUCCUCUCUCAAAUCUCCCCUUUCCCUAACCCUAAUGUUUUUGGUCAGCUCUCAGUUUUUUCUUUUUGCUGCUAGAAAUUCGAAUUCAACCUCAUCCUUUCUCAUUCGUCAAAGAAGUAUGCUGGCUUGGUUUUGUUUAUUUAUUCUUUAAUGGCACUGGUGACUCAAUUAGCAAGAGAAGCAGAAAUUUAGGGAUGGAUUAAUUGGAGAAGGAUGAGUAAGAAAGCAUUGAUGAAUGCAGAGACAAUGGCGGUGCUUUUGUGAAGAAGCACGGAGUGGUCAGAAAAAGGUGAGAUUUGUAGAGGAAAAGGAAAGAACUGUUUGGAAAGGAAUGGUGAAUGAUGAGUCGAAAUCAGAGCAAGACGGAGGAGAAAAUGGAAAGCGGGCCUCUAAGAAAAGUGAGAAUGGCGUGUAGUUUAAAGGUAGAAGAUAAAUUGGGGCAUUCUGAUGACAUCGAUACAGAGUAAGGUUUGUGAAGAAGCAAGAGAGUAGGUUAUUUUCUUACGGCCAUAAAGGAUCAUACAAAGUAGGAAGAAAGAAAAGUAAAUAAGCAGUCCAAGAAAAAAUUGGCUUGGUUGGGUAAAAGCUACUGCUAAGGUCGAGUGAAAUCAGAUGUUGCUGUGAUGAGUUGCAUCAAAAUUCCACUAUAAC